UACGGAGGAUCCGAGCGUUAUCCGGAUUUAUUGGGUUUAAAGGGAGCGUAGGCGGAUGUUUAAGUCAGUUGUGAAAGUUUAAGGCUCAACCUUGAAAUUGCAGUUGAUACUGUUUUUCUUGAGUGUACAUAAGGUAGGCGGAAUUCGUGGUGUAGCGGUGAAAUGCUUAGAUAUCACGAAGAACUCCAAUUGCGAAGGCAGCUCACAGGACUGUAACUGACGCUGAUGCUCGAAAGUGUGGGUAUCAAAC
Molecule: ribosomal RNA, 250 nt
Filed under: uncultured bacterium
Lineage: Bacteria
Description: partial 16S ribosomal RNA
Rfam family: Bacterial small subunit ribosomal RNA
Source: RNAcentral